GACGGGGGGGGGCAAGUGUUCUUCGGAAUGACUGGGCGUAAAGGGCACGUAGGCGGUGAAUCGGGUUGAAAGUGAAAGUCGCCAAAAAGUGGCGGAAUGCUCUCGAAACCAAUUCACUUGAGUGAGACAGAGGAGAGUGGAAUUUCGUGUGUAGGGGUGAAAUCCGUAGAUCUACGAAAGGAACGCCAAAAGCGAAGGCAGCUCUCUGGGUCCCUACCGACGCUGGGGUGCGAAAGCAUAGGGGAGCGAACAGGG
Molecule: ribosomal RNA, 255 nt
Filed under: uncultured bacterium
Lineage: Bacteria
Description: partial 16S ribosomal RNA
Rfam family: Bacterial small subunit ribosomal RNA
Source: RNAcentral